Molecule: ribosomal RNA, 492 nt
Filed under: uncultured bacterium
Lineage: Bacteria
Description: bacterial SSU rRNA
Rfam family: Bacterial small subunit ribosomal RNA
Source: RNAcentral
ACGGGAGGCAGCAGUGAGGAAUAUUGGUCAAUGGGCGCUAGCCUGAACCAGCCAGGUAGCGUGAAGGAUGACUGCCCUAUGGGUUGUAAACUUCUUUUAUAUGGGAAUAAAGUGCAGUAUGUAUACUGCUUUGCAUGUACCUUAUGAAUAAGGAUCGGCUAACUCCGUGCCAGCAGCCGCGGUAAUACGGAGGAUCCGAGCGUUAUCCGGAUUUAUUGGGUUUAAAGGGAGCGUAGGCGGGUUGUUAAGUCAGUUGUGAAAGUUUGCGGCUCAACCGUAAAAUUGCAGUUGAUACUGGCAUCCUUGAGUACAGUAGAGGUAGGCGGAAUUCGUGGUGUAGCGGUGAAAUGCUUAGAUAUCACGAAGAACUCCGAUUGCGAAGGCAGCCUGCUGGACUGUAACUGACGCUGAUGCUCGAAAGUGUGGGUAUCAAACAGGAUUAGAUACCCUGGUAGUCCACACAGUAAACGAUGAAUACUCGCUGUUUGCGAU